Molecule: ribosomal RNA, 119 nt
Filed under: Cebus imitator (Panamanian white-faced capuchin)
Lineage: Eukaryota; Metazoa; Chordata; Mammalia; Primates; Cebidae
Source: RNAcentral
AUCUAUGGCCAUACCACCCUGAACGUGCCCGAUCUCAUCGGAUCUUGGAAGCUAAGCAGGGCCAGACCUGGUUAGUACUUGGGUGGGAGACUGCCUGGGAAUACCAGGUGCUAUAGGUU